GGGAGUCUAGCUCAAGUGGUAGAGUGUGUGCUUAGCAGGCAUGAGGUCCUGGGUUCAAUCCCCAGUACCCUCA
This is a transfer RNA of Camelus ferus (Wild Bactrian camel), 73 nucleotides long. It matches the Rfam family "tRNA". Rfam says of the family: Transfer RNA (tRNA) molecules are approximately 80 nucleotides in length. Their secondary structure includes four short double-helical elements and three loops (D, anti-codon, and T loops). The record is from Rfam. NCBI's taxonomy places the organism in Eukaryota, Metazoa, Chordata, Mammalia, Artiodactyla, Camelidae.